Lolium perenne is the source of this 724-nucleotide long non-coding RNA. RefSeq lists it as uncharacterized. Lineage: Eukaryota; Viridiplantae; Streptophyta; Magnoliopsida; Poales; Poaceae. The record is from RefSeq and is a predicted model, not a curated record.
AGAACUCGGCGGACGGACCUGGAAGAUAUUGUCAAAGCUCGAACAUACAGUCGUUCUUGGAAGACACUGUUAAAUAACUCAGGGAAUGAUGGCAUAUAUAAUACGGAGCUAGAUAGCACGAGGCUUAUCUGUUAAUUGGUACCGUGAAGCAAGCCAAUGUUCGCGUGGAUGUGCUCGCAGUUCCUGGCUGGAAAGAGCGCCGAUGUUGCUCCCGUCCAGCGCCUCCCCCAUCGAUUGCUGCCGGAAAAUAGGAGUAAGCGGUGAAUCCAGAUCAAGGAGCAACUCAUCUUCCGCAUGCACUCCUCAUCCCCUACCACCAUCCUCCACGCUCUUCCCCAAUCGCCUCCAAUCGGAGCACCUCGUGAGCAGCGGAACACCUCGUGACGGCGUGCGUGCGGAGGGGCAGGGGCCGAUGCGUGGGUUCCCUCCGGCGGCGGCGAGCGGAAAGAGCCAGGAGGGCGUCGCCAUGCCGCUGACCGGCCGUUGGCGAUGGCCGCCGUUGCCGCCUCGCUGUGUUGUUCGUGUUUGCGAGAAGCUGGGCAGGAGUUCGGAUUGGCCGUCGUCCUUGUCGCAACUUAAGGGCGCCCAGCCGCAGUGGUCGGAGGACCGGGAUGCAGGCAGAAGGUCUGCGCGCCAUGUCUCAGAUCUGUCUAUUUGGGGUCAAUUUCUUUGUGUAGUGAAGGAUUCAGGUCAAUGGAGAUGGGGGAUGAAUCCUCUGCAGGCU